CCCUGCGCGAGGUCUGAUGGGUGACCGUCGCGGCUCUCCUACUCGCCGCCGCACCUUCAGGCCUGCAGCCGCACUGCCCGCGACCGGCCGGCUCCGCACGACCUUUUAAAGAACAGUGGUGGAACAAGAUGCUGAGUCUGGGGUGUUUUCAUCCUGGGCUUUCCUUCAAGGGCUUCCUGACAACAGUGGACAUCUUUUGAGAGACUAAAAAGCUUUCAGAUUCUGCUAUCACUUUUGAGUUCCAGCAGCAGAGACAUAACCAAGCAUCAGUAGCUACUUCUGUGGCCAUGCACUUCUAGAAAGCACGAAGCUUGUGCUCACCAUCCACGUUGAUGAGUUUCUGACAGCCACUGGCAGAGAAGCUACUCAGCUUCAUUAUGAUACAGCUGAUUAACCUAGGAGGCUCCAUGGAAAAACAAGCAAGAUGCAGUACUCUUUAACACUAGUAAACCUCUAAGGGGUAAACUACAGAAUGCAG
Long non-coding RNA from Chionomys nivalis (European snow vole), 478 nucleotides. RefSeq lists it as uncharacterized. The record is from RefSeq and is a predicted model, not a curated record. Lineage: Eukaryota; Metazoa; Chordata; Mammalia; Rodentia; Cricetidae. The transcript has 3 exons.